This 864-nucleotide long non-coding RNA is filed under the name Phasianus colchicus (ring-necked pheasant). RNAcentral describes it as "lncRNA (ENSPCLG00000002774.1)". Lineage: Eukaryota; Metazoa; Chordata; Aves; Galliformes; Phasianidae. The record is from RNAcentral.
CCUCAUCUGGAAACAAGAUAUGCCAGCACUUUGUUCUGUGCUUUGUUUCUCCUUAAAUUAUUCUUGAUGGCAUCUCAUCAGAGCAAGGUGUGGGGCAAAGAAGGGGUGGAUGCAGUCAGGUUUUGUGUGAAAAGGUCAUCACUUGCUAUUGUAUGCAGAUCAGGAGGAAGUUAGCUCCUGGCAAAGUAAGGGCUGAUCAGGAGUGAAGAGUCAGGGAGAAACUUCUUAGGCAAAAUGUACUCAGGUGACACUCAGGCAAUGUGACUUACCCAUGCCUCUGAUCAGGGUGGGUGGGGUAUGUAUAGCUGAAGACCAGCCUACAGAGAUGGUCACAUUGUAUUCAGUCAAUAAGUAAUGGUAAUGAUAAAUAAUUUUUUGUUAUUAAUUCCACAAGCAAAGUCUUCUCUAUGGACCUAUGUACUGGCACAUCUUAGGCAACCAGAGCAGUUUCUCAACCAACCAGAUGGAGCAAGCUGAGUUUUCUUGUCCUUUUCUUUAUCCAUGAUUGUUUAGCACAUUUUCAGAAAUCUCUCCUAUUCAGAUAUGCUAUGAAUUUCUGUAAAUCAAACAUCAUCUCCCUUGCAGACCACUCAGUCUUCUACAGCCAGCAUCUGAGGAAACUUCAUCCUACAGCCCAUCCUCAUGGCUUCUCAUAUAGACAAGUUUUAAAGUGCAUCUUCAUGUUUCUGGCUGCUAAGGCUUCAUCUGUCAGUGACAAUGAAUGCUGACAUGUCAGAAAUGCACUUGAACUGAAAAUCACAGACACUGACCCUCUGUGGCAAAGGAGUUGGACUAUGGUUGUAUACAAGGCAAGUACCAGCUUCUAGAACUGAAGUCAACCAAAUAAACUAAGCAACACAAACA